GUAGGUGGCAAGCGUUGUCCGGGAAUUAUUGGGGCGUAAAGCGCGCGCAGGCGGUUCUUUAAGUCUGAUGUGAAAGCCCACGGGCUCAACCGUGGAGGGUCAUUGGAAACUGGAGAACUUGAUACAGAAGAGGAAAGCGGAAUUCCACGUGUAGCGGUGAAAUGCGUAGAGAUGUGGAGGAACACCAGUGGCGAAGGCGGCUUUCUGGUCUGUAACUGACGCUGAGGCGCGAAAGCGUGGGGAGCAAACAGGAUUAGAUACCCUGGUAGUCCACGCCGUAAACGAUGAGUGCUAAGUGUUAGGGGGUUUCCGCCCCUUAGUGCUGCAGCUAACGCAUUAAGCACUCCGCCUGGGGAGUACGGCCGCAAAGGCUGA
Molecule: ribosomal RNA, 375 nt
Filed under: uncultured organism
Description: partial 16S ribosomal RNA
Rfam family: Bacterial small subunit ribosomal RNA
Source: RNAcentral